This 343-nucleotide ribosomal RNA is filed under the name uncultured Corynebacterium sp. Its description in RNAcentral is "bacterial SSU rRNA". It matches the Rfam family "Bacterial small subunit ribosomal RNA", at positions 1043 to 1382 of the family's 1533-position model. The record is from RNAcentral. Lineage: Bacteria; Bacillati; Actinomycetota; Actinomycetes; Mycobacteriales; Corynebacteriaceae.
GCAUGGUUGUCGUCAGCUCGUGUCGUGAGAUGUUGGGUUAAGUCCCGCAACGAGCGCAACCCUUGUCUUAUGUUGCCAGCACGUGAUGGUGGGGACUCAUGAGAGACUGCCGGGGUUAACUCGGAGGAAGGUGGGGAUGACGUCAAAUCAUCAUGCCCCUUAUGUCCAGGGCUUCACACAUGCUACAAUGGUCGGUACAACGCGUGUGCGACACUGUGAGGUGAAGCUAAUCGCUCUAAAGCCGGUCGUAGUUCGGAUUGGGGUCUGCAACUCGACCCCAUGAAGUCGGAGUCGCUAGUAAUCGCAGAUCAGCAACGCUGCGGUGAAUACGUUCCCGGGCCUU